GACGAACGCUGGCGGCGUGCUUAACACAUGCAAGUCGAACGGAAAGGCCCUGCUUUUGUGGGGUGCUCGAGUGGCGAACGGGUGAGUAACACGUGAGUAACCUGCCCUUGACUUUGGGAUAACUUCAGGAAACUGGGGCUAAUACCGGAUAGGAGCUCCUGCUGCAUGGUGGGGGUUGGAAAGUUUCGGCGGUUGGGGAUGGACUCGCGGCUUAUCAGCUUGUUGGUGGGGUAGUGGCUUACCAAGGCUUUGACGGGUAGCCGGCCUGAGAGGGUGACCGGGAAAAAUGGGGAUUGAAAUGCGGCCGAGCCUCCGGCGGGAGGCAGCGGGGGGGAAUUUGGCACAAGGGGCGGAGGCGUGAGGCACCAACGCCGCGGGGGGGAGGACGGCCUUGGGUUUGAAAACCCCUUCCGCCUGGAAGGAAGGGGGGGUGAGGGUAAGGGAUAAAGAAAGACCGGCAAACUCGGUC
Molecule: ribosomal RNA, 469 nt
Filed under: uncultured bacterium
Lineage: Bacteria
Description: partial 16S ribosomal RNA
Rfam family: Bacterial small subunit ribosomal RNA
Source: RNAcentral